Non-coding RNA from Violaceomyces palustris, 113 nucleotides. The record is from the annotation of a GenBank genome assembly. Lineage: Eukaryota; Fungi; Basidiomycota; Ustilaginomycetes; Violaceomycetales; Violaceomycetaceae.
UCCCGGCUAGCUCAGUCGGCAGAGCGUCAGACUCUUACGUAAAACAAGAGCCUCCGAGUCAUUAUGCUCGGAAAUAUAUCUGAAUGUCGAGGGUUCGAGCCCCUCGUUGGGAG